RNAcentral lists this ribosomal RNA (424 nucleotides) under uncultured bacterium. Its description in RNAcentral is "bacterial SSU rRNA". It matches the Rfam family "Bacterial small subunit ribosomal RNA", at positions 495 to 917 of the family's 1533-position model. The record is from RNAcentral.
AUCAGACACGGUGUCAGCCGCCGCGGUAAUACGUAGGUGGCAAGCGUUGUCCGGAAUUAUUGGGCGUAAAGCGCGCGCAGGUGGUUCCUUAAGUCUGAUGUGAAAGCCCACGGCUCAACCGUGGAGGGUCAUUGGAAACUGGGGAACUUGAGUGCAGAAGAGGAAAGUGGAAUUCCAAGUGUAGCGGUGAAAUGCGUAGAGAUUUGGAGGAACACCAGUGGCGAAGGCGACUUUCUGGUCUGUAACUGACACUGAGGCGCGAAAGCGUGGGGAGCAAACAGGAUUAGAUACCCUGGUAGUCCACGCCGUAAACGAUGAGUGCUAAGUGUUAGGGGGUUUCCGCCCCUUAGUGCUGCAGCUAACGCAUUAAGCACUCCGCCUGGGGAGUACGGCCGCAAGGCUGAAACUCAAAGGAAUUGGCGGG